AUUGAACGCUGGCGGAAUGCUUUACACAUGCAAGUCGAACGGUAGAGGGGGCAACCCCUCGAGAGUGGCGAACGGGUGAGUAAUAUAUCGGAACGUGCCCAGUCGUGGGGGAUAACGUAGCGAAAGUUACGCUAAUACCGCAUACGAUCUAAGGAUGAAAGCGGGGGAUCGCAAGACCUCGCGCGAUUGGAGCGGCCGAUGUCUGAUUAGCUAGUUGGUGGGGUAAAGGCCUACCAAGGCGACGAUCAGUAGCUGGUCUGAGAGGACGAUCAGCCAAACUGGGACUGAGACACGGCCCAGACUCCUACGGGAGGCAGCAGUGGGGAAUUUUGGACAAUGGGCGAAAGCCUGAUCCAGCAAUGCCGCGUGUGUGAAGAAGGCCUUCGGGUUGUAAAGCACUUUUGUCCGGAAAGAAAUGGCUCUGGUUAAUACCUGGGGUCGAUGGCGGUACCGGAAGAAUAAGGACCGGCUAACUACGUGCCAGCCGCCGCGGUAA
RNAcentral lists this ribosomal RNA (496 nucleotides) under uncultured bacterium. RNAcentral describes it as "partial 16S ribosomal RNA". It matches the Rfam family "Bacterial small subunit ribosomal RNA", at positions 30 to 523 of the family's 1533-position model. The record is from RNAcentral.